This 508-nucleotide ribosomal RNA is filed under the name uncultured bacterium. Its description in RNAcentral is "bacterial SSU rRNA". It matches the Rfam family "Bacterial small subunit ribosomal RNA", at positions 28 to 507 of the family's 1533-position model. The record is from RNAcentral.
GAUGAACGCUAGCGACAGGCCUAACACAUGCAAGUCGAGGGGGCAUCGGGGCGUAGCAAUACGCUGCCGGCGACCGGCGGAUGGGUGAGUAACGCGUAUGCAACCUGCCUUCAGCAGGGGGAUAGCCCGUUGAAAGACGGAUUAAUACCCCGUAACACAGGGGCUCCGCAUGGAGAUUAUUGUUAAAGGGAUACUUCCUUCGGGGGGUAUUCCGGCUGAAGAUGGGCAUGCGUUCCAUUAGGUAGUUGGUUGAGGUAACGGCUCACCAAGCCUACGAUGGAUAGGGGAACUGAGAGGUUGGUCCCCCACACUGGUACUGAGACACGGACCAGACUCCUACGGGAGGCAGCAGUGAGGAAUCUUGGUCAAUGGACGGAAGUCUGAACCAGCCAUGUCGCGUGAAGGAGGACGGCCCUAAGGGUUGUAAACUUCUUUUGCAGCGGAAUAAAGUAUUCCACGAGAUGGGAUAUUGCAAGUACGCUGCGAAUAAGGAUCGGCUAACUCCGUG